RNAcentral lists this ribosomal RNA (497 nucleotides) under uncultured bacterium. Its description in RNAcentral is "partial 16S ribosomal RNA". It matches the Rfam family "Bacterial small subunit ribosomal RNA", at positions 28 to 507 of the family's 1533-position model. The record is from RNAcentral.
GAUGAACGCUGGCGGCGUGCCUAAUACAUGCAAGUCGAGCGAACAGACGAGGAGCUUGCUCCUCUGACGGUAGCGGCGGACGGGUGAGUAACACGUGGAUAACCUACCUAUAAGACUGGGAUAACUUCGGGAAACCGGAGCUAAUACCGGAUAAUAUAUUGAACCGCAUGGUUCAAUAGUGAAAGACGGUUUUGCUGUCACUUAUAGAUGGAUCCGCGCCGCAUUAGCUAGUUGGUAAGGGAACGGCUUACCAAGGCGACGAUGCGUAGCCGACCUGAGAGGGUGAUCGGCCACAUCGGAACUGAGACACGGCCCAGACUCCUACGGGAGGCAGCAGUAGGGAAUCUUCCGCAAUGGGCGAAAGCCUGACGGAGCAACGCCGCGUGAGUGAUGAAGGUCUUCGGAUCGUAAAACUCUGUUAUUAGGGAAGAACAAAUGUGUAAGUAACUAUGCACGUCUUGACGGUACCUAAUCAGAAAGCCACGGCUAACUACGUG